Molecule: small nucleolar RNA, 68 nt
Filed under: Brassica napus (rape)
Lineage: Eukaryota; Viridiplantae; Streptophyta; Magnoliopsida; Brassicales; Brassicaceae
Description: Small Cajal body specific RNA ncR26
Rfam family: Small Cajal body specific RNA ncR26
Source: Rfam by way of RNAcentral
UUUGAAAACCGGUUUUUGAUGCGCCACUAAUGACAGAUUUAUCUCACUACUGAGGGUGUUCAUGUUUU